UAGGGAAUCUUCCGCAAUGGGGGGAACCCUGACCGAGCAACGCCGCGUGAGUGAAGAAGGUUUUCGGAUCGUAAAGCUCUGUUGUUAAGGAAGAACGAGUGUGAGAAUGGAAAGUUCAUGCUGUGACGGUACUUAACCAGAAAGGGACGGCUAACUACGUGCCAGCAGCCGCGGUAAUACGUAGGUCCCGAGCGUUGUCCGGAUUUAUUGGGCGUAAAGCGAGCGCAGGCGGUUAGAAAAGUCUGAAGUGAAAGGCAGUGGCUCAACCAUUGUAGGCUUUGGAAACUGUUUAACUUGAGUGCAGAAGGGGAGAGUGGAAUUCCAUGUGUAGCGGUGAAAUGCGUAGAUAUAUGGAGGAACACCGGUGGCGAAAGCGGCUCUCUGGUCUGUAACUGACGCUGAGGCUCGAAAGCGUGGGGAGCGAACAGG
This 429-nucleotide ribosomal RNA is filed under the name Bacteroidota bacterium. RNAcentral describes it as "Bacteroidetes bacterium partial 16S ribosomal RNA". It matches the Rfam family "Bacterial small subunit ribosomal RNA", at positions 355 to 776 of the family's 1533-position model. Lineage: Bacteria; Pseudomonadati; Bacteroidota. The record is from RNAcentral. RNAcentral also lists the same sequence under 1 other name.